UUGUUAAUCACAUUGUCGAUGUUAAGGUAGAUAUAAAUAAUUGUGAGGACCUACUUUGAAGGCAAAAUGGAUUUUAUGGCUGCUAAAAUAUUUAGUUUUAUAUUCUCUUCCAUUUUGAAUUAUAUGCAAACGUUUCUUGUAUGGGUCGUUCGGAAAUAAAAAUAACACGUUUCUUUCAGAUAAGAUUUCAACUCAAAUCUGUCUUUUUUGCUCAUUAAUAAUCAUUACUGAAUAUUUGUGGUAUUGGUUUUGGAUCAUAAUUCUGUAAAUUUUCUCGCUAUGGAGAAAUAUUUUGGAUACUUGAUUAUUAGUCAAACACAAUUGUUAAAACCAUAUGUAAUGUUUUACUUAUUUUGGAAGAGAGAGGGAUCACGACUUCUGUCUGUCCGUUAUGAGCUUAUGCAACAUCUUCCAUCUCAAUAUCGAUGCUAUUAUUGUCAUAUGGGUAAUUUUUAACUUGAAAUUUGAAUUUUCAAACAAACACAACAUCUAUUACAAAAUAAUAAUUUAUGAUGCUUACUUUUUUUAAACAAUGUUCUGUUUUGUAAUUUGAGAAGUCCUACUUGUAUUAUAAUUUUGUUGUUCAAAGAUAGAUUUGGAUAUGGAUGAUGGAUUUAAGAACCUUUCAAUGGAUGACAAGAUAAGGAUGUAUUGUAUCUUCACAUGCUUUUUAAAUGUCAUUAGCAAAUGCAUUAUAAAAUAGAUCUUGUUGAAGUAUAUAUAAUCUAUAUACCACAAAGACACACGCACACUCACCAUUAGUGAGUCUUAAACUCGUGACCUCCAUGGAGGCUAGGGUCUACCAGUAACCUUAAUACCGAUAGGCCAAUGACCUUUUGAUAUUUUUUCUUAAUUGGUGAAUAAUGUUUUUUGAAUUUGUUUUUAUAUCGUCACAUAGUUUUGGAGUAAUGAUGAAAAUAUGCAUGGAACCCAGGCCCUGUUAUGUAUUUGGGCAAAGUCUUCCCACUCCUUUGCCAAUUGAGCUACACGCCAGAGGCAAAUAAUUGAUUAUUUUACAAUAUAGCGUUUUUGUAUAUUCUGAUAUAUGUUGCUUAGAGAAAUAUUUGAUUAUUAAGUAAAGAUAUGUUGCAAUUAAUUACAAAAAUAUCAAAUUCCUAACACAUGCAUACCAAUAUUUGAGAAUUAAUGGUUGUAGUGUUUCAUAUUCAUAAUAUAUUAUUAGAUUAUGAGGGAGGUAGGAAAAAACACUUAGGUAACCAUUAGUGCAAAAUUGCGUCGUUUUGAUGGUAAAUUGAUUAUAAUUUUAGUAAUAAAAAUAUAUAAAAAAAAUGAUGACGAACAACUACAAAUUGAUGAAUAGAUGUAUGCUAGUGAUAAAAAUUACGAGAAAUUAUGAAUAGAUGGAAAACCACGAGCUUGUAAUAAAAAACUAGUAGCUGGUAACAUGAACCUAGAAAAGAAUGACACCUCAUUAUCGUUUUAUAUAAAUUGCCUUAAUCUAAGUAUCCUUGAUGAUUCAUUCACUUCUACUUCCAUGAACAAAACAAAAUGUCAUUCACUUGAACGCAAAUACGUCGUAAAUGAGCAUUGAACUUUUAUGUUUUCGUGUUGACAUUAUUGAACAAAAAAAAUGAUUGCAUGUUUGGAUAUUUGUAAUGGUAUGGAUUACAUUAUUUGAUCUAUUCGUAUACAAAUUAGCUAAUUUAAGGUAAAAUCAAAUGAGUUUGAUAAGGCAAUAAACUGUAAAGAAUAUGUGGAACCUUAUUAGAUUACUCUUCCAAAAAGCCUUUGAGGAGGUUCCAACAUAUAUAGGGAAAUAAAUGGUCCAAGUCCAACCGAUAUAGGACCCCUAACACGCCCCCUCCAACGGAAGCUAGACGGGCACAAAUUCUCCCGUGUUUUAAGAGUGGCUAGACGAGUAGAUACUGUUGCAGAGUGUCGAGUGCCUGGAAUGGUAGGUCUUGGUUUUGUUACCAUGUCAGAAUAUUUGGAACUCCAUUAGAUUACUCUCCAAAUGAGCCCUUGAGGAGAGAAAGGAGGUUCCAACAUAUAUAGAGGAUAAACGGUACAAGUCUAGCCGAUGUGGGAUUCUAAUAGAAAAUGUUUGCCAUUUUUCGUUAACAGAAGUAUAUACCAUCAGCCAUUGGAUGCUUAUGUCUUGUUUGGUACAGUGGAAUGAAAUUGCAAAUGAAUAUAAUGGACAAGUAAACAAAGCGAGCACUGUAAUGUGAUGGGUCACUACCAUUCAUUAUUGUCUUUGGUUGGCUUUCAGUAAUAGGUGACAAAAUGGCAAGUUGGGUAGUGGGUCUGGGUUGAAUGGACAAAUGUUUAGGCUGGGUCAAAACAGGGGUCGAUUCGAGAUGACCCGCCAACUCCUUUUUUCCUUUAUUAUAAAAUUUUAUAAAUACUUAAUAUAUUAAAUAUGAUCACAUUAUUAAAAUUACAAUCCAUUCUUUUCAAUGUAUGAAGUAGUAAACAUUCAAAUAUGCUUUAAGCAACUUUUAAACCAUUUGAGCCGUCUCCUUUUUAGGUAAAAAUUUUAAUUGUAACCAUUUGACCCGUUAACAAUAAAAUAGAACCCGAAUCGGUUCGUUCUUAUGUACACGGGUUGAAUUUGUCACCUCUAGCUUAUAGGAAUGAUUUCAUUGUUUGAUAUGCACUAAACAUGUGAAGCCUUUGUUUAGACAUCUUAUGGGACCAAAUUAUAUUUUCAGUAUAUCAAGUACUUAACAUUUUGGUCAAUUUAACUUAUGUGGACCAAUAACUUUUGGAGGAGUUGAGUACAUUAUGCUGGGGACAUAUGCUUACCUUUCAUAAUCGAAGUAGAAACUGCGUCAUCUUGUUUGAGAUGUAUCUAAAGCAUUUCUUUUAUUGGUCUUCAAUUUUAUUACGUAACGCUUUUAUAUUCUAACAUUUUAUCACUAAACUUUUUAUAAACGAAAACUUGGUCUCUUGCUGUACAACAGCAUGCUGAAAUUUGCAUCAUGUACUAUAGCAUUGAGUUUGAUUGUGAUGGUGAAAUGUUUGCUUCUGCUGGAAAGUUUUUCACUUCUCGAUGGUGAGUUUUCCACUUCUUGAUGGUGUACAACAGCAUACUGAGUUUUGCAUUAUGUGCUUCAAGGCGUAUAAAAGGUUUUUCACCUCUUGAUGGUGAGUUUUCCAUUCCAGAUUCUUUUCUUUAAUAGUAAUAAUGGCUGAGUAUGGCCUGACAAUGUACUCAGUUUCAGAAAGAUUGAUAUUUCAUAAUAUUCAAGUAUCAAAAAAGCUACUUAUUAGGUAUUAUGAACAACUGAAAAUUGGUGAGAGAAGGAUAAGUAGGGUGGAUAUUUGUAUGUCAAAAUCAGUAAUGUUGUUGUCGUUAGAUAUUCUUGUGAAAUGGCUUUAAUUGAUUGCAACUGUAAGUUCUUGGUAUCUUGCAAUUCUUUUCUGUUUUGUUGCUUGUGCACCUCUGUAGUCAUGACGCUAAAACAUCUUCAAGUUGUGAAAAUGUAAAUACUUACUGGUUCCAAAUGUGGAUGCUCAUGAUUUCAGUGAUACCUUACUUGCAGGUUGAUAAUAAUCCCUCAGAAGUAACACUGCCCUUUAUGGAGAUGCCCACACAAUCAACGGUUAGUUACUUGAACUGGUACAAGCAUAUAAAUAGCCAUAUAUCCACAGUGAUUGAACUGGAACAAGCAUAUAAAUAGCCAUAUAUUCACAGUGAUUGCCCUCGGGCGUGUAGCUCAGUUGGCAAAGGGGUGGAACAACUUUGCUCAAAUACACAACAGGUUCAAGUUUGAAUCCUGCAGGAAACGGGCUUGAACCCCUCCUCUAGCCUCAGCCGCAGAGUCUGCUCUGAAAUGCCUCCUCACACGUGGUUCCUAGGGGGCGGGUUCCUUGUGGGGCCAGUCAGGGUUGCUGAUAAUCAACCUUUGCUCAAAUAUCCAGCAGUGAUUAUGAAAGAAUAAUAACUGUUUGGGAUAUGAACCGAACAUGUAAUUGGGAUGCUGGUUACAAGAGUGAUGCAAUACGAAGAGCACGACAAACGGGUCCGGAGUGUUGAUUCUUACCACUUAGAACCAUCAAUACUAUCAGGACGGGGUCAAGUCUUACCUCAAUCUGGUCACCAAGGUUGAUGACAAUGGAAUGGCGCAUGGGUGGAACAUUGAUCCAUUCACCGUC
Cynara cardunculus var. scolymus (artichoke) is the source of this 4122-nucleotide long non-coding RNA. RefSeq lists it as uncharacterized. The transcript has 3 exons. NCBI's taxonomy places the organism in Eukaryota, Viridiplantae, Streptophyta, Magnoliopsida, Asterales, Asteraceae. The record is from RefSeq and is a predicted model, not a curated record.